AAAAAAACACCCCCCCCCCCCAAAAAGUGACACAGGCACAAAACACGGACCCGGAGAAAGCUGCUGCCACUGAAGUUUGGAAAUAUGGGGGGAAAAUAAAAUUAGUGAGAGUCGAUAAAAUGUGGCUCUGGGGAAGUGGUGGUGCUGCAGGGAAGUUUUGGGGUGGUAGGACCCCAUCCCUGGGGGUAUCCAGGGCUUGGAGUAACUUUCUCCAGUGAAAGGUAAUCAUCCCUGCCCAUGGCAGGGGGGUGUAAUGAGGUGGGCUUUAAUAUCCCUUCCAACCCAAACCAUUCUGUGAUUCUAUGAUCAGCAGCACCUUCUCGGUGUGAGGGUGGGGAAGCCCUGGCACAGGUUCCCACAGAAGUUGUGGCUGCCCCUGGAUCCCUGGAAGCGUUGCAUAGAAUAACCUGGUCUAGUGGAAGGCGUCCCUGUGCAUGGCAGGGGUGGAAUGAUGAUAAUUUAAGAUCCCCUCCAGCCCAGACCCUUCCAUGACAUGCCAUGCCCGUGCCAGCCCACGGACGCCAGCAGUUGCACAACGCUGAGCAAUGAUAAUGGUUUGUGUGUACCUGCCAAGGCAGAGCUCUCCUGAAGGGCCGUGGUCACUUCCCUGCUGACUGCUGAGCAAGUAGAGGCAGGCUCAGCUGAUAAAAGGUGCAUUUACCGAGAUAAGGGAACAGCAGAGCUCCUGCACUGCUGCUAUUUCCUGCAGAGUCCUGGCUGCUCCACCUCGGCAGGAAUCCGAGGGCAGGAGGUGCUGCAUGAAAGCACAGAGAGAUUUUACACGGGUGAUGGAGACAGGCUGUUUAAGGCUUACCCCCGUCCAAAGGUGUCUGCUGUUACCAGGAAGAAUCCCAAGGGAAGUCGGAGCCUCAGAAAGAUGCUAGCCGUAAAUGUAAGGUCUAUAAAACCCCAAAAUCUCCUCUACAAGCUCCCAGCAGCACCUCCAGUGUGAGCACACAGCACUGUAUCAGUGACACGGGCCUCCCACAAAACAGAUGUUUGACUUGCCCCACUCAACAUGGUCCUCUCAGUGUUUGACAUCUGAGCCUGCAAACCUGGUGAUUAUGGCCAGGAUCAUGGAAUCCCAGAAUGGUUUGGGUUGGGGGGGACCUUAAGGACAUCUCAAUCCAACCCCCUGCCACGGGCAGGACCUUGAGGGUCUCUGUGUGCCGCAGCCCUGGUGCACUGUGGAGGAGAGGAGCUGGGGCUGAGCACGAGCUCUGAGUAGCACAGAACCACAGCUCCGAGCUGUGACCUCCCACAGCAGAGCUGCUCUUUCCUGCAGGCACGGAACAGACUCUGCAAUAACCACCAGGAGACAUGGGGGUGAUGUGUUUGUCCCCUGCUGCAGCUCAGGGGACUGUAACCAGCCCCAGGAAGGAGCCCUGGAGCAGACGGUUCGUUCUCUCUGUGCCCCCAAGACCAAAGAUGUUAUUUUCCAAACAAAGGGUGAAAAAAACACAGGCAAUUUUUCAUCUGUCCCAUCACUGACCCUUUGUCCAGAGCAAUAGAAAUAAUUAGAGCUUGCUGCAGCCUUUUGCUAAUGAAAAAUGAGGUUUGGGGCCAACCUGCUCUGCAUUUGAAGUUCAGGCUCCAAGAGUACGUGGACAGCUUCAUGCCCGUGGAUUGUCUGACUCCUGCAUGCUCCUUCAGAUAUUCGGUACAUUCCUGCAGUGGGUGGUGAGCCACAAAUCAGGGUCAGAGGUAAUCCCCAAUUAUUUAGCCCUUUUACUGUUCUCGUGCUUGCCAAACAAUUCUCCAUAUCAGGAUUUGCUCAUGACCUUAAGGGACGUUGCCAAGGAUUUAGGAGUCCCCCUAAAAGGAGGAUCCAAAUGAAGUUUUUGCAUUCUUGGGCAUCAAGUGAGAUUGCUCGAGAGUUGAGUUACAUUUUCCUGGGGAUCAGUUUUCAUGAGCAAGGACUGAUGCAAUCAUCAAUUCUCCUUCUCGCUUGUGUUUGCUGAAUUAUUUCUACAUGGAGGGCUCCUUUACACCACACGACUCAGGCAGUAACAAAAUGUUUAAAAAGGCUGAAUUCCCUCAAGCCAUCCGUGGAGCAGCAGCUCUCCUGAGCGCUUCUCCAGCAGGGCUGGGAGUCACAGGACCGCGACAGCUCGUGUCCAAGGGGAUUUGCAGUUAUUUACAGAGGCACGAGAAGCAAUCCCGGCUCGGGUUACUGGCACCGGAGGUGAAAGCUCAGCCCUGCCGAGGCUGGACGCGCCGGGAUGCGCCCAGCCCUCGGCAUCCUCGGCCGGCAGGAACACCCCGUGCUUUCCGCACCAGGGAAAGUUCCUGCGGGAGCCAGGCUGUCUGUGACAGAGCUGGGGCUCUCUCCUGUGCUCAGCAAACGUGACGGCUCCGCUCCGAGCCCGGCAGCUCCGCAGCUGCUGCUCCCGCCCCCGGGCCGCACGGGAGGCUCGGGCGGGGGGACAGCGCCUCCAUCCCCACGGGCUCUGUGUCCUGCGGAGUGCGGUCAGGGUGGGAUGCAGCCAGCCAGGAGCUCCCAGGGGAGCUGCACCUCUCCCUUCCCACCCGCAGCGUCCAAGGCCGGCGCGGGAGAGCUCACACCCCUCAGCCACGGCCGGUCCCGAGGGACACCGUGGGACCUCACAGCGCAGGGUGUGAGGAGCAGUUUGACACCCACCAGGCUCUGCCUCAGCCUUCUGGGAGUUGCAAAAGCCCGAUUUGGUGUGAAGCCGGGCGGUUUCAGCUGUGUGUGACUCUCGAUAGCACAGCUGGCCGCGCUCACUGCCGCGGAACCGUCAGGAACCGUCACGAGUCAGAAGUCGAGAUUUAAUAUUGCAAAUAUGUGCAUCCAUCGCUGCUUAAUUGCACUGGUUUAGGCUGCCAUGGGCUCUGCCUGGAUAAAGCACUGGGAAAACACAGCAAGAGCUGUUGUCUCUGUGCCCUCCCUCCGGCACGACCCUGGAGCGCUGCCGGGCACGUGAGAGCUGAGGGAAUGGGGAAUGACGCUGGCAUCGCUCAGCGAAACUCGCCCGAGGACUAUUCAAAUGAAAGCCAUUCCCCUCUUUGAGCAGAGAUGUUUGCCAGCACCCAGUGCAGCAGUGGGAGGAACAUGUAGGUGGAAACUAUUUGGAAGUGGCAGAAUUUGUGGACAUUAAUAAGAGACUUUAGCCCACUUUGAUAGUGUGUUUAAUAAAACACCGGCUUCCCGGUGACAUGCUGCCCUGCCAAGCCCCGGCAGCUCACGCUGUUUAACCAGUUCCCCCCCGGCUCUUGCACCAUCUCGUGAGAAAGAACCCCGGGCGUGCACACCCGGCACACCCCGGGGCUGCACAGGCCUCAGCUCUGCCUGCACACGGCCUAACCACGGAAUCAGGGACUCGUGGAAUGGGCUGCCUUGGAAGGGACCUUGAAGUUAUUCAGUUCCACCCCUGCCCUGGGCAGGGACACCUCCCACCAGGCCAGGCUGCUCCCAUCCAGUCUGGCCUUGGACACUUCCUGGGAUGGGAGUCCUCAACCCAAGAGCCAUUUCAGAGGUGACAUCCUGGCUGCUGCAGGUGGGGCAGGGGACAGCGAGGGCUGACAGCAGGCUUUGGAGGGGCAGGGAGGAUGAGGAAUGGCUUCUCCUCCCGCUGCUGGCGUUGUCUGGUGGAUGCUCUGCACAAUGGGAUCUGAUCACAUCCCUCCUCCUGCCUCACAUCAAACAGUGAGUCAGCGCUGGAGCCCCAUCAGAUGUCUCUGCCUUGGCUUUCAGAUCUGGGAAGCAGAGGGGAUGGUGCUCUGUGAGUAUGCAAAGCAAGGAAAGCAGGGUGCCUUCAGAUCUGCCACUUGGAAAAUACCACGUUAUUUAUUUUCCACUGGCACCCACGUACCCCGGCAGGAAUCAACACCACUGAGGCUCCCAGGCUGGGGAGAUGUUGUUCUUUCGGGGGAUGCAGGUAACAACAGCUACGGGGCUGAACUGCAUCAUGUCUGACUCAAAUAUUAACACAGAGAAUAUUCUCAACUUGCUAAUUGAGUCAAAAAAAUUACACACCCACCCCUAAAAAUAAUAAUAAAAUAAAGCUGGGACAGGCAGCAGAAGAGGCCA
Molecule: long non-coding RNA, 4051 nt
Organism: Haemorhous mexicanus (house finch)
Lineage: Eukaryota; Metazoa; Chordata; Aves; Passeriformes; Fringillidae
Exons: 2
Source: RefSeq, a predicted model, not a curated record